CUCUGUGGACCCCAAACAGCCCCAGGCACAGGGAUACAUAUCAAAAUAUUUGUCAUUGAUUGAGAUAAUGAAGUAAAUUGAAAAAGAUUCAAAGAUUUUGGCUUUGAGGUUUGGCUGGUGAUUCAGUGCCAAAUAAUAAUAUUUUUGUUGAGAGCAUUGGCGUUUUCUGGUGUAGAGGGCGUCAUAGUUGAGGUCUGGUAGGGGAUCGUUGAAAGAGGUGCUCCCGGAUUUUAUGAUUGGACCGGGUAUUUCAACAUUGUUCAGUUGGCGCAGCGGUUUGGGCUGAAGGUGCUCGUGAUGAUGGCUUUCCAUC
This is a long non-coding RNA of Magnolia sinica, 313 nucleotides long. RefSeq lists it as uncharacterized. NCBI's taxonomy places the organism in Eukaryota, Viridiplantae, Streptophyta, Magnoliopsida, Magnoliales, Magnoliaceae. The record is from RefSeq and is a predicted model, not a curated record. The transcript is spliced from 3 exons.